UACCUGCAGUCGAGCGGAUGAAGGGAGCUUGCUCCUGGAUUCAGCGGCGGACGGGUGAGUAAUGCCUAGGAAUCUGCCUGGUAGUGGGGGAUAACGUCCGGAAACGGGCGCUAAUACCGCAUACGUCCUGAGGGAGAAAGUGGGGGAUCUUCGGACCUCACGCUAUCAGAUGAGCCUAGGUCGGAUUAGCUAGUUGGUGGGGUAAAGGCCUACCAAGGCGACGAUCCGUAACUGGUCUGAGAGGAUGAUCAGUCACACUGGAACUGAGACACGGUCCAGACUCCUACGGGAGGCAGCAGUGGGGAAUAUUGGACAAUGGGCGAAAGCCUGAUCCAGCCAUGCCGCGUGUGUGAAGAAGGUCUUCGGAUUGUAAAGCACUUUAAGUUGGGAGGAAGGGCAGUAAGUUAAUACCUUGCUGUUUUGACGUUACCAACAGAAUAAGCACCGGCUAACUUCGUGCCAGCAGCCGCGGUAAUACGAAGGGUGCAAGCGUUAAUCGGAAUUACUGGGCGUAAAGCGCGCGUAGGUGGUUCAGCAAGUUGGAUGUGAAAUCCCCGGGCUCAACCUGGGAACUGCAUCCAAAACUACUGAGCUAGAGUACGGUAGAGGGUGGUGGAAUUUCCUGUGUAGCGGUGAAAUGCGUAGAUAUAGGAAGGAACACCAGUGGCGAAGGCGACCACCUGGACUGAUACUGACACUGAGGUGCGAAAGCGUGGGGAGCAAACAGGAUUAGAUACCCUGGUAGUCCACGCCGUAAACAUGUCGACUAGCCGUUGGGAUCCUUGAGAUCUUAGUGGCGCAGCUAACGCGAUAAGUCGACCGCCUGGGGAGUACGGCCGCAAGGUUAAAACUCAAAUGAAUUGACGGGGGCCCGCACAAGCGGUGGAGCAUGUGGUUUAUUCAAGCAACGCGAAAACCUUACCUGGCCUUGAUGCUGAAACUUUCCGAAUGGAUUGGCCUUCGAUCGACGCUGCAUGUGCGUCAGCUCGUGCGGAUAGUCCCUAACGCUACGCUUCGACAACAGGGGAUCAG
RNAcentral lists this ribosomal RNA (1032 nucleotides) under Pseudomonas aeruginosa. Its description in RNAcentral is "bacterial SSU rRNA". It matches the Rfam family "Bacterial small subunit ribosomal RNA", at positions 52 to 1195 of the family's 1533-position model. Lineage: Bacteria; Pseudomonadati; Pseudomonadota; Gammaproteobacteria; Pseudomonadales; Pseudomonadaceae. The record is from RNAcentral.